AUGGGGAACAGUGCAUCUGCGACAACCGUCGCCCCAACUGCAGAAGGAAAAACCGGGCAAGCUCCAGCGCCUGACACGAAGCCGAAGAAGAAGAUAUGCUGCGCCUGCCCCGACACAAAGAGGCUGAGGGACGAGUGCAUCGUGGAGCAUGGCGAGGAUGCGUGCGGGAAGUGGAUCGAAGCCCAUCGCCUAUGCUUGAGAGCCGAAGGGUUCAACGUCUGA
This 222-nucleotide ribosomal RNA is filed under the name Triticum aestivum (bread wheat). RNAcentral describes it as "partial small subunit ribosomal RNA". The record is from RNAcentral. Lineage: Eukaryota; Viridiplantae; Streptophyta; Magnoliopsida; Poales; Poaceae.